RNAcentral lists this ribosomal RNA (510 nucleotides) under uncultured bacterium. RNAcentral's name for it is "partial 16S ribosomal RNA". It matches the Rfam family "Bacterial small subunit ribosomal RNA", at positions 28 to 507 of the family's 1533-position model. The record is from RNAcentral.
GACGAACGCUGGCGGCGUGCUUAACACAUGCAAGUCGAACGAAGAGCGAUGGAAGCUUGCUUCUAUCAAUCUUAGUGGCGAACGGGUGAGUAACGCGUAAUCAACCUGCCCUUCAGAGGGGGACAACAGUUGGAAACGACUGCUAAUACCGCAUACGAUCUAAUCUCGGCAUCGAGGAAAGAUGAAAGGUGGCCUCUAUUUAUAAGCUAUCACUGAAGGAGGGGAUUGCGUCUGAUUAGCUAGUUGGAGGGGUAACGGCCCACCAAGGCGAUGAUCAGUAGCCGGUCUGAGAGGAUGAACGGCCACAUUGGGACUGAGACACGGCCCAGACUCCUACGGGAGGCAGUAGUGGGGAAUCUUCCGCAAUGGACGAAAGUCUGACGGAGCAACGCCGCGUGAGUGAUGACGGCCUUCGGGUUGUAAAGCUCUGUUAAUCGGGACGAAAGGCCUUCUUGCGAACAGUUAGAAGGAUUGACGGUACCGGAAUAGAAAGCCACGGCUAACUACGUG